CCCCCCUGCCCCAAACAACGCAUCCCCCCCACCCACCCCCCCGUUUCCCAUUGCAGUGAGCUGGAUUACUACGACUCCCCCAGCGUCAACGCGCGGUGCCAGAAGAUCUGCGACCAGUGGGACGUGCUGGGCUCCCUGACCCACAGCCGCAGGGAAGCCCUGGAGAAAACGGAGAAGCAGCUGGAAACCAUCGAUGAGCUGCACCUGGAAUACGCCAAGAGGGCAGCGCCCUUCAACAACUGGAUGGAGAGCGCCAUGGAGGACCUGCAGGACAUGUUCAUCGUGCACACCAUCGAGGAGAUCGAGGUGGGGGGGGGGUCUCAAAUGGGGGGGCAGGUCGUAGAGUCGUAGGAUCAUAGAAUCACCGAGGUUGGAAAGGACCUAAAAGCUCAUCCGGUCCAACCGUUCCCCUGUAUUCCCAAUAGCUCCCACUAAAGCACGUCCCUCAACACCACAGCCAGUCUGUGUAGCCCUGUGGGUUCCCAUGUAUCCCUAUGGGUCUCCCAUGUAUCCCUAUGGGUCCCCUAUGGGUCCCCCAUGUAUCCCUAUGGGUCCCCCAUGUAUCCCUAUGGGUCCCCUCUGGGUCCCCAUGUAUCCCUAUAGAUCCCCCAUGUAUCCCUAUGGGGUCCCUAUGGGUCCCCCAUGUAUCCCUGUGGGUCCCCAUGCAUCCCUGUGGUCCCCCAUGUAUCCCUAUGUGUCCCCCUGUAUCCCUCUGGUCCCCCAUGUAUCCCUAUAGAUCCCCCAUGCAUCCCUGUGGGUCCCCAUGCAUCCCUACGGUCCCCCAUGCAUCCCUAGGGGUUCCCCACGUAUUCUAUGGGUCCCCAUGUAUCCCUAUAGGUUCCCUAUGUAUCCCUAUAGUCCCCCACGUAUCCCUGUGGGUCCCCAUGCAUCCUUGGGGGGGGUCCCCAUGCAUCCCUGUGGUCCCUCGUGUAUCCCUGUGGGUCCCCACGCAUCCCUAUGGUCCCCCAUGCAUCCCUGUGGGUUCCCCAUGCAUCCCUGUGGGUCCCCUAUGUAUCCCUGUGGGUUCCCCACGUAUUCUAUGGGUCCCCAUGCAUCCCUAUGGGUCCCCCACGCACCCCUGUGGGUCCCUCCAGCCACCCAGCAUCACCUGGGGUCUGGUUGCAGCCAGAACGCAGGACCCAGCAUUUGUUCUGGGUGAACCUCAUCCCAUUGGCUUCAGCCCAGCUCUCCAGAUCCCAUAUGGCAGAUCCAACCCUUCGGUGUCACCUCCAAAUUUACUCAGUGCCCCCACAUCCAGCCCAUCCAUAAAGAUAUCAAACAGGACAGGUGCCAGCAUCCCCAUCAGCUGGCUUCAACUCCACUCACCACCCCUUUCUGAUCCCAGCUCCUUCCCCAUCCAGAUCCAACACUUCCAGCCAAUUCAGCAUCACCUCCAAAUUUACUCAGGGUGCCCCCAAUUUACUCAGGGUGCCCCCACAUCCAGCCCAUCCAUACAGAUAUCAAACAGGACAGGACCCAGCAUCCCCACCAGCUGGAUUUCACUCCAUUCACCACCACUCUCUGAUCCCAGCUCCUCCCCAUCCAGAUCCAACACUUCCAGCCAAUUCAGCAUCACCUCCAAUUCAGCAUCACCUCCAAAUUUACUCAGGGUGCCCCCAAUUUACUCAGGGUGCACUUGAUGCCCCCACAUCCAGCCCAUCAGUAAAGAUAUCAAACAGGACA
Molecule: long non-coding RNA, 1683 nt
Filed under: Phasianus colchicus (ring-necked pheasant)
Lineage: Eukaryota; Metazoa; Chordata; Aves; Galliformes; Phasianidae
Description: lncRNA (ENSPCLG00000013856.1)
Source: RNAcentral